AUUUUGGUGGCUGAAUCUAGGCGAUAAAUUGUAAAUUUAUUUAUGACUGUAGUGUCCCACCCGAAAA
RNAcentral lists this transfer RNA (67 nucleotides) under Chromodoris magnifica. RNAcentral's name for it is "tRNA-Tyr". The record is from RNAcentral. Lineage: Eukaryota; Metazoa; Mollusca; Gastropoda; Nudibranchia; Chromodorididae.